Molecule: ribosomal RNA, 497 nt
Filed under: uncultured bacterium
Lineage: Bacteria
Description: partial 16S ribosomal RNA
Rfam family: Bacterial small subunit ribosomal RNA
Source: RNAcentral
GAUGAACGCUGGCGGCGUGCCUAAUACAUGCAAGUCGAGCGAACAGACGAGGAGCUUGCUCCUCUGACGUUAGCGGCGGACGGGUGAGUAACACGUGGAUAACCUACCUAUAAGACUGGGAUAACUUCGGGAAACCGGAGCUAAUACCGGAUAAUAUAUUGAACCGCAUGGUUCAAUAGUGAAAGACGGUUUUGCUGUCACUUAUAGAUGGAUCCGCGCCGCAUUAGCUAGCUGGUAAGGUAACAGCUUACCAAGGCAGCGAUGCGUAGCCGACCUGAGAGGGUGAUCGGCCACACUGGAACUGAGACACGGUCCAGACUCCUACGGGAGGCAGCAGUAGGGAAUCUUCCGCAAUGGGCGAAAGCCUGACGGAGCAACGCCGCGUGAGUGAUGAAGGUCUUCGGAUCGUAAAACUCUGUUAUUAGGGAAGAACAAAUGUGUAAGUAACUAUGCACGUCUUGACGGUACCUAAUCAGAAAGCCACGGCUAACUACGUG